Molecule: ribosomal RNA, 253 nt
Filed under: uncultured bacterium
Lineage: Bacteria
Description: partial 16S ribosomal RNA
Rfam family: Bacterial small subunit ribosomal RNA
Source: RNAcentral
UACGUAGGUGGCAAGCGUUGUCCGGAUUUACUGGGCGUAAAGCGCACGUAGGCGGCUUACUAAGUCAGGGGUGAAAUCCUGGAGCUCAACUCCAGAACUGCCUUUGAUACUGGUGAGCUUGAGUCCGGAAGAGGUGAGUGGAACUGCGAGUGUAGAGGUGAAAUUCGUAGAUAUUCGCAAGAACACCAGUGGCGAAGGCGGCUCACUGGUCCGGUACUGACGCUGAGGUGCGAAAGCGUGGGGAGCAAACAGG